GACGAACGCUGGCGGCGUGCUUAACACAUGCAAGUCGAACGGAAAGGCCCUGCUUUUGUGGGGUGCUCGAGUGGCGAACGGGUGAGUAACACGUGAGUAACCUGCCCUUGACUUUGGGAUAACUUCAGGAAACUGGGGCUAAUACCGGAUAGGAGCUCCUGCUGCAUGGUGGGGGUUGGAAAGUUUCGGCGGUUGGGGAUGGACUCGCGGCUUAUCCGCUUGUUGGUUGGGUAGUGGCUUACCAAGGCUUUGACGGGUAGCCGGCCUUAGAGGGUGACCGGCCACAUUGGGACUGAGAUACGGCCCAGACUCCUACGGGAGGCAGCAGGGGGGAAUAUUGCACAAUGGGCGGAAGCCUGAUGCAGCAACGCCGCGUGCGUGAUGACGGCCUUCGGGUUGUAAACCGCUUUCGCCUGUGACGAAGCGUGAGUGACGGUAAUGGGUAAAGAAGCACCGGCUAACUACGUG
This 468-nucleotide ribosomal RNA is filed under the name uncultured bacterium. RNAcentral describes it as "partial 16S ribosomal RNA". It matches the Rfam family "Bacterial small subunit ribosomal RNA", at positions 28 to 507 of the family's 1533-position model. The record is from RNAcentral.